GGCGUGGCGUCAGCUGCGGCCUGGGCCGACCCUCCCACCCGUGUCGACUUCUAUCGUGUUGCUUUGGCGGCCCGGACGCGCGAGGCCUGUCGGUCCAUCUCGACAGGUGGUUGUGCUCCCCUGGCUCUCGCGAUGAGGGCUGGGUCGUGACCGCCAGAGACCCCCCUCAAAAUACGUAUGUUGUUCCUGUAGUCUAAAGUUUAAUGAAGCAAAUUGAUA
This 219-nucleotide unclassified non-coding RNA is filed under the name Erysiphe fernandoae. RNAcentral describes it as "partial ITS1". Lineage: Eukaryota; Fungi; Ascomycota; Leotiomycetes; Helotiales; Erysiphaceae. The record is from RNAcentral.